CGUGAGCUGUUCAGGGAGGAGCAGAGGAGAGGUUGAGGGUCAGCCAAACAAAAGGCCCUUUGGCUCGGGUUCUCCGGGUCAAGGCUUAAGGGCAGGAAGUAGCGGAACAAUAUCCGGCACUUCAGAUUUGAGCAGAAGUGACACUCCAGAGAAUACCGCCUUACACGCUUCGCUGGAGAGAGAGGGAGCAGGCACCGAGGAGAGAAAGGUGAGGUGGAUUUGUUGUGAUCACAUCGGGGUACAGAAAAGAAAAAGCAAGGGGAGAAAGAGUGACAGAGACGGAAGCACGAGACAGCCGGAGAGAAAGCCAAAGAAAAAACGUCUUCCUGACUCACAGACAAAGCAGUGUGGUCUGCAGCAGUGAGAUAACAGAGAGAGAGAAAGAGAGAGGUAGAGGAGAGGAAGGCAAGGCCGAGCAGGUGGACAUGAGCCAACAUGUCGCUUGGGGCACAAACUGUGGCUUCGGAGAGGAGAAGUGAGGAGAGGAGGAAUUUUAAUGACCCAGAAACCAGCCCAGCAGGUCUGGAGGGGUUGAAUGCCACAGAUAGUUCCCUUGUCUUCCUCCUCUACUUCUCCCUCGCACA
Oreochromis aureus is the source of this 584-nucleotide long non-coding RNA. The record is from Ensembl. Lineage: Eukaryota; Metazoa; Chordata; Actinopteri; Cichliformes; Cichlidae.